UACGUAGGGUGCGAGCGUUGUCCGGAAUUACUGGGCGUAAAGAGCUCGUAGGUGGUUUGUCGCGUCGUCUGUGGAAUUCCGGGGCUUAACCUCGGGCGUGCAGGCGAUACGGGCAAUACUUGAGUGCUGUAGGGGAGACUGGAAUUCCUGGUGUAGCGGUGAAAUGCGCAGAUAUCAGGAGGAACACCGAUGGCGAAGGCAGGUCUCUGGGCAGUAACUGACGCUGAGGAGCGAAAGCAUGGGUAGCGAACAGGAUUAGA
This 260-nucleotide ribosomal RNA is filed under the name uncultured prokaryote. RNAcentral's name for it is "partial 16S ribosomal RNA". It matches the Rfam family "Bacterial small subunit ribosomal RNA", at positions 524 to 782 of the family's 1533-position model. The record is from RNAcentral.